GCUCCGGACGGCGACGGCGCGGUUCCAGGAUCCCGGGUCCCGAGGCCUCGGUCAUGGGGACCGAGCAGCCCUCUUCUCCGGCAGAGGAGCCCCUUGGUUCCCCGACUGACUGUGUUCCGUUAAGAGCAGGCAUCCCAGAUGGCGUCGCACGGCAGAUCCACCUCCACUGUUCUCCUCCGGUUACGUUCCUCUUCGCCCACCUCAUGAACACCGCCGAUUUGGCUGCGGACCAGGGCACGAGGGAACAAUUGUUUGGGGAGGCUGCCGCUCUCGUCCUGAGGGAACCUGCCCUGCGCGAGGUCCUGCAACUCCCAGGCCUGUGGUCAGCAGCCACACCAGAUCCUGCACCUCAGUCAGGUCAGUCAAGCCAUGUUCAGUCUCCAGCCCAGCCGCGUUCUGCUCAGGUCUCAGCCCAGCCGCGUUCUGCUCAAGUCUCAGCCCAGUCGUGCGCUGUUCAGUCUCCAGUCCAGCCGCGCGCUGUUCAGCCUCCAGUCCAGCCGCGCGCUGUUCAGCCUCCAGUCCAGCCGCGCGCUGUUCAGCCUCCAGUCCAGCCGCGCGCUGUUCAGCCUCCAGUCCAGCCGCGCGCUGUUCAGCCUCCAGUCCAGCCGCGCGCUGUUCAGCCUCCAGUCCAGCCGCGCGCUGUUCAGCCUCCAGUCCAGCCGCGCGCUGUUCAGCCUCCAGUGCAGCCCUGUCAUGCUCAGGUUCCAGCCCCAGUCCAGUCGAGCUCCGCUCAGGAUCUAGCUCCAGUCCAGUCGAGCCCAGCCCAGGUCCCAGUCCAGUCGAGCCCAGCCCAGGUUCCAGCCCAGUCGAGCCCAGUCCAGGUUCCAGCCCCGUCGAGCCCAGUCCAGGUUCCAGGCCAGUCGAGUCUAGUCCAGGUUCCCGUCCGGUCAAUCACGUUCAGGCCUUGUCCCAGCCAGAGGGCACCAUCCGUUUGACGAGUGUUAGUCACACCCAAUCAGGCCCGGCGUCUACUCCGUCGAGCUCGGCAGCUGCAAGUAGUCAUGCCGGCUCCGGAGAGGACGUCGUCCCAGUCCCUGUCGGCCAUGUUGAGCCCGUUCCCUGUCUCUGUCGGCCAUGUUGAGGCCGUUCCAGUGCCCAUUCCUGUCGGCCAUAUUGAGGCCGUUCCCGUCGGCCAUGUUGGGGCCGUUCCUGUCCCUGUUCCUGUUCCUGUCGGCCAUGUUGUCCAGGAGGAGGUUGCGCCAGCUGGAGUUGCCGCCGCGGUUCCCGGCGACCUCCAGGACCUGUCAGACACGCAUCAUCUUUCAAAAGUGAACAUAGUUUAUUUAAAGUGUAAUC
This 1296-nucleotide long non-coding RNA is filed under the name Betta splendens (Siamese fighting fish). Its description in RNAcentral is "lncRNA (ENSBSLG00000019565.1)". Lineage: Eukaryota; Metazoa; Chordata; Actinopteri; Anabantiformes; Osphronemidae. The record is from RNAcentral.